UGAAGUGACGUGCCCAGAGUCACACAGGU
This 29-nucleotide non-coding RNA is filed under the name Mus musculus (house mouse). Lineage: Eukaryota; Metazoa; Chordata; Mammalia; Rodentia; Muridae. The record is from RNAcentral.